GACGAACGCUGGCGGCGUGCUUAACACAUGCAAGUCGAACGGAAAGGCCCUGCUUUUGUGGGGUGCUCGAGUGGCGAACGGGUGAGUAACACGUGAGUAACCUGCCCUUGACUUUGGGAUAACUUCAGGAAACUGGGGCUAAUACCGGAUAGGAGCUCCUGCUGCAUGGUGGGGGUUGGAAAGUUUCGGCGGUUGGGGAUGGACUCGCGGCUUAUCAGCUUGUUGGUGGGGUAGUGGCUUACCAAGGCUUUGACGGGUAGCCGGCCUGAGAGGGUGACCGGCCACAUUGGGACUGAGGUAAGGCCCAGACUCCUAAGGGAGGCAGGAGGGGGGAAUAUUGCACAAUGGGCGGAAGCCUGAUGCAGCAACGCCGCGUGCGGGAUGACGGCCUUCGGGUUGUAAACCGCUUUCGCCUGUGACGAAGCGUGAGUGACGGUAAUGGGUAAAGAAGCACCGGCUAACUACGUG
This 468-nucleotide ribosomal RNA is filed under the name uncultured bacterium. RNAcentral's name for it is "partial 16S ribosomal RNA". It matches the Rfam family "Bacterial small subunit ribosomal RNA", at positions 28 to 507 of the family's 1533-position model. The record is from RNAcentral.